This 488-nucleotide ribosomal RNA is filed under the name uncultured bacterium. Its description in RNAcentral is "bacterial SSU rRNA". It matches the Rfam family "Bacterial small subunit ribosomal RNA", at positions 28 to 526 of the family's 1533-position model. The record is from RNAcentral.
GACGAACGCUGGCGGCGUGCUUAAUGCAUGCAAGUCGAACGGGGUCCAACCAGUCGCAAGACUGGGGAAGACCGAGUGGCGAACGGGUGUGUAACACGUGAGGAACCUGCCCCGGAGACCGGGAUAACCCUCCGAAAGGAGAGCUAAUACCGGAUGUGCUCGUCGGACCGCAUGAUCUGACGAGGAAAUGGAUUCCGCUUCGGGAUGGCCUCGCGGCCUAUCAGCUUGUUGGUGGGGUAACGGCUCACCAAGGCAACGACGGGUAGCUGGUCUGAGAGGACGAUCAGCCACACUGGGACUGAGACACGGCCCAGACUCCUACGGGAGGCAGCAGCAGGGAAUAUUGCGCAAUGGGCGAAAGCCUGACGCAGCAACGCCGCGUGGGGGAUGAAGGCUCUUGGGUUGUAAACCCCUUUCAGCAGGGACGAUUGUGACGGUACCUGCAGAAGAAGGACCGGCCAACUACGUGCCAGCCGCCGCCGUAACAC